CCUACGGGUGGCAGCAGUGGGGAAUAUUGGGCAAUGGGCGAAAGCCUGAUCCAGCAAUGCCGCGUGUGUGAAGAAGGUCUUCGGAUUGUAAAGCACUUUCGACGGGGACGAUGAUGACGGUACCCGUAGAAGAAGCCCCGGCUAACUUCGUGCCAGCAGCCGCGGUAAUGCGAAGGGGGCUAGCGAUGCUCGGAAUGACUGGGCGUAAAGGGCGCGUAGGCGGUUUAUGCAGUCAGAUGUGAAAUCCCCGGGCUUAACCUGCGAACUGCAUUUGAGACGCAUAGACUAGAGGUCGAGAGAGGGUUGUGGAAUUCCCAGUGUAGAGGUGAAAUUCGUAGAUAUUGGGAAGAACACCGGUGGCGAAGGCGGCAGCCUGGCUCGUUACUGACGCUGAGGCGCGAAAGCGUGGGGAGCAAACAGGAUUAGAUACCCGAGUAGUC
RNAcentral lists this ribosomal RNA (440 nucleotides) under uncultured bacterium. RNAcentral's name for it is "bacterial SSU rRNA". It matches the Rfam family "Bacterial small subunit ribosomal RNA", at positions 338 to 795 of the family's 1533-position model. The record is from RNAcentral.